GCCCGGAUGGUGGAAUCGGUAGACACGCAGGACUUAAAAUCCUGUGACCAUAACGGUCGUGCGGGUUCAAGUCCCGCUCCGGGUA
This 85-nucleotide transfer RNA is filed under the name Haliscomenobacter sp. Its description in RNAcentral is "tRNA-Leu". It matches the Rfam family "tRNA". Rfam says of the family: Transfer RNA (tRNA) molecules are approximately 80 nucleotides in length. Their secondary structure includes four short double-helical elements and three loops (D, anti-codon, and T loops). Further hydrogen bonds mediate the characteristic L-shaped molecular structure. tRNAs have two regions of fundamental functional importance: the anti-codon, which is responsible for specific mRNA codon recognition, and the 3' end, to which the tRNAs corresponding amino acid is attached (by aminoacyl-tRNA synthetases). tRNAs cope with the degeneracy of the genetic code in two manners: having more than one tRNA (with a specific anti-codon) for a particular amino acid; and 'wobble' base-pairing, i.e. permitting non-standard base-pairing at the 3rd anti-codon position. Lineage: Bacteria; Pseudomonadati; Bacteroidota; Saprospiria; Saprospirales; Haliscomenobacteraceae. The record is from RNAcentral.